Oncorhynchus tshawytscha (Chinook salmon) is the source of this 1674-nucleotide long non-coding RNA. The record is from Ensembl. NCBI's taxonomy places the organism in Eukaryota, Metazoa, Chordata, Actinopteri, Salmoniformes, Salmonidae.
UACACAGCCAGCUGUGGUGAUAUGAUGUCACUGCUGAGGAGUUUGCUGUUGAUCUACUUCUCAUUCAAUGAAUUGACCACAGCAGCAGAAGACAUUCUCUGGGUGAAGACAGGGAGAAGUUUACCAUGAAGUGCUCCACCACUCUAAAAGACCAGGAAGGAAUGUACCUGUAUGUUGGGCUGGACAGAGACAGGGAGGUGCUGUAUUACUACCAGCAUGACUCCAAGCUGACCCCCAGGAAACGCUACUGGGACAGAGUGAAGACUGAGGGACCUGUGGACCAACUGACCAUCACCGUCAGUAACCUGACCAUAGAGGACACAGGCGUCUACUGGUGUGUUUACACAAAAUUCAAUAAAGCCACAUAUGAAAAUGACAUCAACCAAGGAAGAGGCUCCACUCUGGUCGUGGUGAAUGCCAACAAGAAGCCGUGCCCAUCCGGCGUGGAAAGCAUCAUCAUCAUCAUCAUCAUCACCAGCAUCUUGACCACCCUGAUAUGUGCCGUCAUCUUCCUCGUCUGGUUCGCUCCACUGGUGAAGAGGUGCUGUAACCAGGGAGGAUACACACCACAGGUCUUUCCUGACUCGGUCUAUGAAGACAUGGCCCGGAAUCACAUUUAUCCAUCAGGCACACAGCAGUGUUUUUAGGUCACUGGACCCCUCAUCAAGCUGUUCCUGUGCAUGUUGUCUGCACACAAAGUCAAAAGAGCUUCGAUGUUAAAAUGAGAACAGUUUGUUAAGAUUUGUAUUAUAUUCUAUCAUAGGUACAAAUAUUUUAGCUGCCUAAACUUUCAGGUACAUUAGGAUAUAAGCCAUUUUUAUAAUUACAUUUGAUUAAUCUAUGGUUUUAGUUGAGAUAGCUAGUAGGUUAAACCAUAAUGGUCUGAGUACAUUGUUUUCAUGCUGGUACGGAGUAUUGAGUGCGUCUUGUGGUUGGAAAAACUAUUUUUAACCAAGUGACGUAGUAUUUGUUUUACACUAUGAGUCACUGUUUUUUUACUUAUUUUUCAACUUCCUAACAGCUAUUUUCACUUUAAAUAAAUGUAAAUGUGUUUUGUAUUUUUUUUAAAGGGAGAAAAAUAUUCUCACCAUUUUCCAUUUUAAUCUAAAUAUUGAUACAUCAUUGAUAGUCAUGUGAUAUUCCCCUUGUGUAUGUCAUGUUUGUGUAUGUCAUGUUUAUGUUGUAUUUGUGUAUGUGUAUCUGGCAUGCAUUGGUGAUGUUCAGCUAUAUUGCUGACAGUAUAUUGUAUGUUUGGAAAGCUUUCUAGUUAAAUCAAUCGAAGAAAAAUUCAGGCAGGAAACUGGAGUGUUUGUAUCUGCUGAUAUUGAACCAAUUAGAUUCACUCUACUGUAAUAUGGCGGUCUAUUUAGUUAACCAGGUUAUUACAUCAUUUCAUGAUGUCUGCUGCACGCAAGCUAUGCACUGGUGUUCUUGGUGACAUGCUAUGCUGUAACAUGCGGUACUCACCCUGCAUGCCUGCUUUCUGACCACCCACCCCAGACUCCACCUGUUUGGGCACUGCUUUUGUUUCAGUCAGGGAGAUUGGUAUAGCAUACCUGGCUCACUGUUUGUUAUGUUAUCAUUAUGCAUGCUCUGGCAGUGAGCUACCCCGAAGGAGCAGAGCCUAACGCCAAGAGUAACAUAUUGACUGUAUUGUAGUCUUUUCUAAUAAAU